RNAcentral lists this ribosomal RNA (1380 nucleotides) under uncultured organism. RNAcentral's name for it is "16S ribosomal RNA". It matches the Rfam family "Bacterial small subunit ribosomal RNA". The record is from RNAcentral.
GGCGGCGUGCCUAAUACAUGCAAGUCCAACGGAAUUUAAUAGAGCUUGCUCUUUUAAAUUUAAUGGCGCACGGGUGAGUAAUAUAUAGCUAAUCUGCCCCUUGCUGGAGGACAACAGUUAGAAAUGACUGCUAAUACUCCAUACUCCUUUUUACCAUAAGAUAAAUCGGGAAAGAAUUUCGGCAAGGGAUGAUACUAUAUCGUAUCAGCUACUCGGUGGAGUAACGGCCUACCGAGGCUAUGACGCGUAACUGGACUGACAGGAUGAUCACUCACAUUGGAACUGACACACUGGCCACACUCCUACGGGAGGCACCCCUACGGAAUAUUGCGCAGUGGGGGAAACCCUGACGCAGCAACGCCGCGUGGAGGAUGACACUUUUCGGAACGAAAACUCCUUUUGCUAGGGAAUAAUAAUGACGGUACCUAACGAAUAAGCACCGGCUAACUCCGUGCCAGCAGCCGCGGUAAUACGGACGGUGCAAGCGUUACUCGGAAUCACUGGGCGUAAAGGACGCGUAGGCGGAUUAUCAAGUCUCUUGUGAAAUCUAACGGCUUAACCGUUAAACUGCUUGGGAAACUGAUAAUCUAGACUAAGGGAGAGGCAUAUGGAAUUCUUGGUGUAAGGGUAAAAUCCGUAGAUAUCAUGAAUAAUACCUAUUGCGAAUGCGAUCUGCUGGAACUUAUCUGACGCUAAUGCGUGAAAGCGUGGGGAGCAAACAGGAUUAGAUACCUUGGUAGUCCACGCCGUAAAUGAUGUAUACCGGUUGUUGCCUGUGCUAGUCACGGCAGUAAUCCACGUAACGGAUUAAGUAUCCCGCAUGGGGAGUACGGUCGCAAGAUUAAAACUCAAAGGAAUAGACGGGGACCCGCACAAGCGGUGGAGCAUGUGGUUUAAUUUGAAGAUACGCGAAGAACCUUACCCGGCCUUGAUAUGUAACAAAUCAUCCAGAGAUGGAAGAGUGUCUGCUCGCAGAAAUGUUAAGACAGGUGCUGCACGGCAGUGGUCAGCUCGUGUCGUGAGAUGUUGGGUUAAGUCCCGCAACGAGCGCAACCCACGUCAUUAGUUGCUAACGGUUCGGCCGAGCACUGUAAUGAGACUGCCUUCGUAAGGAGGAGGAAGGUGUGGACGACGUCAAGUCAUCAUGGCCCUUAUGUCCGGGGCGACACACGUGCUACAAUGGCAUAUACAAUAAGACGCAAUAUCGUAAGAUGGAGCAAAUGUAAAAAAUAUGUCCCAGUUCGGAUUGGAGUCUGCAACUGGACUCCAUGAAGCCGGAAUCGCUAGUAAUCGUAGAUCAGCCAUGCUCCGGUGAAUACGUUCCCGGGUCUUGUACUCACCGCCCGUCACACCAUGGGAGUUGAUUUCACUGGAAGCGGG